UAGUUACGUAGGUAAUAGUAGUUGUGGUAGUAGGUGCUCGGUAUUCCCCGUGCGUGAUAAAAACUGGCAACUCGCCUCGCUGAUCAUCUGCAUCUGCGAUCGUGUAGAGGGGCCGUAAUAAUAUGUUUGUUUUAUCAUCGAUAACGUUGAUAAGCAGUAGAUAGGUACCUAAGUAAAAAAAAACUUCAGAGCAGUUGAUCUGAUAACUUCACCGUCUGCAGCCAACAAUGAAGUUUAAAUAACCACUAUUGGCUUUCAAAGUAGGAUCAUACAGUCCGCGUUUAAUCGAUGUGCCUCCUAUUUCUUCACAUGCACCUAAUGACAGCUGCACAUAAAAAUGUAUGAUUUUUGCAAUCCAGUAUUACUUGAACAUCUGUUAAACCAGACGGGUUCAAUAGAAGAUUUUUAUAGAUCGAUACAGCAAGGUGACAUAGGGGAAGCUGUUGUGAUUGCAAUAAAAUCACUUAAGAUAAAUAACAUUCCUAUCAUUAAAAAAGAGCCGAAAUCAGCGAACUUUUCGCAUAGGGCAUGUCAUGUUGGAGACCAGGCCCUCAAUAAUAAAAACUACAGGAAUGCUUUCGAAAUGUAUAACUGUGCAAUCAGAUGUGCGCCUGAGGGUUCUGAGGCAAUGUUGGACGCGUACUUUGGUAGAUCCAGACUGUUAUUCGCUAU
Molecule: long non-coding RNA, 672 nt
Organism: Ostrinia furnacalis (Asian corn borer)
Lineage: Eukaryota; Metazoa; Arthropoda; Insecta; Lepidoptera; Crambidae
Exons: 2
Source: RefSeq, a predicted model, not a curated record